Molecule: non-coding RNA, 45 nt
Organism: Schistosoma curassoni
Lineage: Eukaryota; Metazoa; Platyhelminthes; Trematoda; Strigeidida; Schistosomatidae
Source: Rfam
AUCCAAAUGACGAGUUCCAAAUAGGACGAAACGCUUUUCCUGUAU